This is a non-coding RNA of Vibrio azureus NBRC 104587, 117 nucleotides long. NCBI's taxonomy places the organism in Bacteria, Pseudomonadati, Pseudomonadota, Gammaproteobacteria, Vibrionales, Vibrionaceae. The record is from Rfam.
GCAAAUUAUUCACCUGUUUCUUUUUGGCUUAUUUAUCUUCUCAUAGCAGGAGAGGCCGACUCGUUUGUAAAAAGUCAAAAACAAACAGAAAGCCUCCCAAAUGGGGGGCUUUUUCAU